GAUUAACGCUGGCGGCGUGCAUAACACAUGCAAGUCGAACGAUGAAACUUUAAUGAACCCUUCGGGGAGAAUUAAAGCGGAUUAGUGGCGAACGGGUGAGUAACGCGUGAGUAACCUGCCUUACACAAGGGGAUAGCCUUUGGAAACGAAGAAUAAUACCCUAUAAAACCAUAAAAGCACAUGCAAUUAUGGUCAAAGUGAUAGCGGUGUAAGAUGGACUUGCGUCUGAUUAGCUAGUUGGUGAGAUAAAAGCCCACCAAGGCAACGAUCAGUAGCCGGCUUGAGAGAGUGUACGGCCACAUUGGGACUGAGACACGGCCCAGACUCCUACGGGAGGCAGCAGUGGGGAAUUGUGCACAAUGGGGGAAACCCUGAUGCAGCGACGCCGCGUGAUUUAGAAGGCCUUCGGGUUGUAAAAAUCUUUUGUAUAGGAAGAAAAUGACAGUACUAUACGAAUAAGGUCCGGCUAAUUACGUG
This 477-nucleotide ribosomal RNA is filed under the name uncultured bacterium. RNAcentral describes it as "partial 16S ribosomal RNA". It matches the Rfam family "Bacterial small subunit ribosomal RNA", at positions 28 to 507 of the family's 1533-position model. The record is from RNAcentral.